UGGGGAAUUUUGGACAAUGGGCGAAAGCCUGAUCCAGCAAUGCCGCGUGUGUGAAGAAGGCCUUCGGGUUGUAAAGCACUUUUGUCCGGAAAGAAAUCCUUGGCUCUAAUACAGUCGGGGGAUGACGGUACCGGAAGAAUAAGCACCGGCUAACUACGUGCCAGCAGCCGCGGUAAUACGUAGGGUGCAAGCGUUAAUCGGAAUUACUGGGCGUAAAGCGUGCGCAGGCGGUUUGCUAAGACCGAUGUGAAAUCCCCGGGCUCAACCUGGGAACUGCAUUGGUGACUGGCAGGCUAGAGUAUGGCAGAGGGGGGUAGAAUUCCACGUGUAGCAGUGAAAUGCGUAGAGAUGUGGAGGAAUACCGAUGGCGAAGGCAGCCCCCUGGGCCAAUACUGACGCUCAUGCACGAAAGCGUGGGGAGCAAACGGGAUUAGAUACCCUGGUAGUCCACGCCCUAAA
This 459-nucleotide ribosomal RNA is filed under the name uncultured bacterium. RNAcentral's name for it is "partial 16S ribosomal RNA". It matches the Rfam family "Bacterial small subunit ribosomal RNA", at positions 355 to 806 of the family's 1533-position model. The record is from RNAcentral.